CACACAACAAUUCCUUUAUCUGUGUACAUUUUCACCCUCUCAGUUCCCACACACUCUUUCACACCAACAAAAUUUGGAUGUUUAGCCAAUAUUUCAAUUACACUAGGAGGAAUAUCUUGACCACUCCUUGAAGGUACAUUGUAUAUGAUGAUAGGGCCUAUAGGAAGCAAACUAUUAUAAUGAGCAACCAAACCUGCAUUUGAGGUUUUUCCAUAGUAAGGGUUUAUAUGAAGUGCAGCAUCCAUUCCAACAGCGAAGCCUCGCUCAGUUGCGUUUAUCGCUUCUUUUGUGCAGUUGCUUCCUGCAUUACCAAUAACUUUAACUUUGUCGCCGAAACAAUUAACUGUGUGAGCAAUGAGCAUUAUUUGUUCAUCCCAUGUCAUUAAUUGGCCUUCCCCAGUUGAACCAGCAACAAGAAUACCUUCAACACCAUUUGCAAUCUGUAUGUUCACCAAGUUAUCAUAUGCUUCAAGAUCUAUUUUUCCACUAGGUAUGUACGGAGUCUUAACGGCGGUGAUGAAUUGCAGACUUCGUACGUCCUCAACCGAUUUCCUGUAAAUACAGUACACAUAAAACUUAUUCCCAUUACCACAAAAGCAUAAAAAAAUAAUUAACAUAACAUGAAAUGUUAUGAUGUUCGAAAACAUUAUUGUAUAAAUUUGGUUUACAAGUUUUGAUUUGUUAACAAAAACCAGUCCUGCAAAUGGAUCUAUCAAAUUUAAUAGGAGAAAGAAUUCAUUCAAAUUGAGUAAAACAUAUAUCGUUCAAAUCAAACCAAUCUUUUACCGCCGUUGAGCUGCUCAACUGGACGCGAACAUCAAGUCUCGCAGCUGUUUGUUGAACCUUACAAUAUGUGUUCCAGGAUAAAGAAAUAUCGACAUCAUUAAACUAAGCAAAAUUUUGAUUAAUAGCUAAAACUACAAGAUUUGGUAUCUUUCUUAUUCAGUUAGCACCAAUUUACUUGUCUUAGACUUCUGAAGUGACCCCCCAGUUAUUCUAAACUUAACAAACCUAUUUAUGAUCCUUGAGUUUUACACAACAUACGGCUAGAAUGUAAACAUGUUGAGUGAGGAGAGUAAAGUCACAAAUCUCACGUAUUUAAGCAGUCAACAUGUUGAUCGUCGUUGGAUUAAGAUCAGAUGGUUUAGAUUUCAAGCUCUAUAAUUUAGAGUAAUAAAAAACCUAAAUCUACUUGUUUUCUGUAUUGUUUUGAUCUCGAUCGAUCAACCAUUGACGAGUUGUCUGCAUAAAUAUGUGACUGCAGCAAAUUCAAAUUCGUCUUAUAUCGAUUCAUAUUAACCCGUGCCCCAAGAAAACAAGUUAAGGAAUGACACAUUUUAAACAGUAAGAGUUGAAUGCACUAUACUAACAUUUUCGGAUUUUCCUUAUAUUUAGUUCAGUAACUACCUUACGACAUAUGUUAACAUUUUCUAAGAUAAGUCAUCUAAAACAAAAAUAGUAAAAUAUUAAUGAUCUACAAGGUUAACAAAAUUAAAUGAAAAUCAUGAGAACAAAAUAUCAUUUAUGAUAAGAAUGGAACAAAAGAAAAUCAACCAAACAAAGUAAACUGUAGACUAAAUAAACAAAGAGAUUAUGAAAAAUGUUAACCUGCUUUUGAAAGGUAAAACCGGUGAAUUGGGUCCUCUCAUACUAGAAUCAGUUUUCAACAUGUUCAUCAGUGAAAAUGGUUAAGAACUAUAGUUACUUAAUCAAUCAAUGACAAGAAACCAACAAUUGAAGCACUUUAAAAAGAGUUUGGUUCAAAUGAAUUUUGGGGAGAAGGAAAGGUCAAAGUAAUAGUAAAAAGAGACAGCAUACAAAGAAAGAAUGACCACUCACCAGAUGCGACCUGAACGAAUGAAUAAGAAAGAAUAAUAGAGUUGACACUUUAGCCGCCUUAUAAAAAUGAAAUGCGUUUUUGAUUGAUAUAAAUAUAUAUUGUUCGGUCGAGUGAGGAUAGCUCAUGUGAUAUAAUUGUAUUAUUAUAUAUAAGGUUGAGGUUUAAAGUUCAAACUCCGGAUAUUUUACUCUUUCACUUUAAAAAGUGAAUUUUAAUCACCAGAUUAUUUGACCAAAUAUAUAUAUAUAUACUCCAUGUCAUCACCAACAACCUCCAAAAUGGCGUCGCACUUGACCGUCAAGUGUUCUCUGUGCCUAUAUAAGGGUGACUUAGUGUCGCCAUUUUUCCACAUAACCAUCUCUUUCAAUACUGACUUGUGCGUUGAAAUCAACAACGAUGAUUCAACAUCCUCCACAUUAGAUCACUGUGAACAAAUGUUCGAUUUCCUUAAUCGUCACCAGAAUGAUCAAUUGGCGCUAGAAGGAGGGGAUCAUUCACUGAUUCCAUGCGAUUCAAACGAUUCACCACCGUAACCGUUUUCACACUUACACGUUCUUCAGCCGUAAUCGUUUUUGGUUACAUGUUCCUCCACCGUAAGAGUCAACAGACACUUCUUUGUACAGGAAAUUAAGGCUGAAACUCGAAAGAGAAACACCGAAAGCAAGACGUCCACCGUCGCAAGAGUUCGUUCAGCUAUCCAGACUUUGCAAGAUCAUUUGAUUCCAGUUCACACACCGGUAGGACAAGAUGAGAACGCACUGAAGCCUCUCCAACGAUCGCGGACAAUGUGAUUCCUUUAGCAACGAUGCCUCCUCCGACAAGACCACCACCAUCCGCUCCAAACGGAAAUCGCAAUCAGACGACGGAGAAGAAUCUUCUGCCACCACCUCUAGAUGUGAACACACUCUUGACGAACCUCUCAUCCAACAACAUAACGACAUAUUUAGGCUUGUGGAAGAGAAUCAGGAGAAGAUCCCAACAAAUAUCACUACACAGCUUGAAGUGGUGCAACGCAACCAGCAAAACUCCACUCUGUUGGUGGUAAAUGACGCAGUCUCCGUCCCAACGAAGCCACAAAGGAAGAAGAACAAGGCUCUGGAGGAUCCUGACGAAGGAAGCAGUAGUCGUUUUCUUCGUUGUUGCGGAAGCAGCAUGGACUCCCCACCUCAUCGUCAUGGCGGCAGAAGGCGAGGGGAAUAUUCCCUUCGAGAAACCUCCAAAGCUUGGAGGCUACGAUGGAACAACUGAUCCUAACGAACACAUAGAACACAUUGAUAUCGUCCUCGAUUACCACUAGGCAAAAUGAGCAGUGAAGUGCAAGCUCUUCGUUUUGACCUUGAAGGGGGCGACAAUGACCUGGUUCAAAGGACUUGAAGACAACUGCAUUGACACUUGGAGAGAAUUAUGUGAAAAAUUUACUUCCCAUUUAACUACAAGAAGGAAACAACCAAAAAAUGAUGGCGGCACUAAACGCCAUCAUCCAAGGGAAAAAGGAAAUCCUUAGAGAAUACUUGGAAAGAUUCAUCCGCGAAGGGGUGGAAGUUUAUGGCGUACGAUAACUUGAAAUGCUUUAUCUUCAAAAACAAUCUAUGCGGUGACUGCAAGUACAAGGAGGAAUUGGGCUUGAGGGGGGUAAGAGAUAAUACAAGUGUUAUAAAUUUAUCAAAAAAUCUCAUUCAACAUUCAAGAUCAAAGCAUAUUGAAAUUAUACACCAUUUUAUUAGAGAUUGUGCGAAUAAAAAGAAAAUUGAAUUAAUUUUGUUGACAAUAAAAAUAAAUUAGCUAAUAUUUUUACAAAUCCUCUUGUAGAAGAUCGUUUUAAUUUUAUGAAAGAAAAAUUAAAUAUCAUUCAAAAUCCUUGUAAAAAAUAGAAAGGCCAUUCUCAAAACUUAUCACAUUCAUGUGUAUGAAAUUACACUUGGGGCUCACACUCACGAUCUCUGAACUUCCAUCUUAAGAAGAAAAAUAAAAUCAUGAAGAUUUUUCAAAAAAGGCUUUAGCUCCUCCAAACACACUUUUUGGCAAGAAAACCAUCAUUACUGGCCCACUAAACUACCUCUCAUCCCUAACACUGCUCUCAAUCAAAUCACCUCCCUCCCUCCCUCCCCCUCUCUUUCUCAAACUAUUGUGGAAAAUCUCACACGAAGUGUCGAGACUGAAAGUAAUAUGUUUUAGGUGAAUCAGGAUAAUUCUCUUGUGUCAUUCUUAUUAUUGGUUUAAACAUUAAACACACAGUAUCACAAUCAUAAUCCUUAUUAAUAAACUAUCCAGAAUGUUCGGGUCCUUAAUUAAAUAUAACUGGUUUAUAUUUAUCCAGAGUUCUCUAGUUAUUAAUUAACCAUUGAUAUUGUUUUAUCAUUCAGCUUAAUAAUUUACCAUAUAAUUGUUAUCAAGAGUUUUAAAUAGAACUUUAUUAGAGAAUUGAGUCAUCAUUAGAUAUUAAUUUAGUAUGAUAGAGGAAAUAUAACUCAUGAACUUAAAAAGGGAUGGAACAUGAGAAGUUUUUAAGAGAGUAAGAGGCUUUUCUAGAAGAAGAGGUCAAUUUAGAUAUACAAAGGGUAUUUCUUUAAGGUACAAUUCUAACUAAAGAAGAGAUCAAUUUUAUUUAUAUAUAGAAUAUAGAUUUCCAUGUUUAUGACCUUAUCAUUUCAUUAAGUACAAUUCUAACUAAAGAAGAGGUCAAUUUUAUUUAUAUAUGGAGUAUAGAUUUGCAUGUUUAUGACCUUAGCAUUUCUUUAAGUACAAUUCUAACUAAAGAAGAGGUCAAUUUUAUUUAUAUAUAGAGUAUAGAUUUGCAUGUUUAUGACCUUAGCAUUUCUUUAAGUAGAAUUCUAACUAAAGAAGAGGUCAAUUUUAUUUACACAUAGAAUAUAGAUUUGCAUAUUUACAGGAUCAUGAUUGUGCACUACAUGUAUUUAAGCAUACAUGGUCUAUGGAAUAAGAACAACGUUCAAUUUCAUUUUCUAUCUGUAAGCAUCAUCAUAGAUAUAUGACCAUAACCACCCUUUUUUCAUAUCACAAAUAAAACCACAACUACCCUUUGUUUUCUUUUUUCUCCAAAAAAAUAACCUGAAAUGUCUCUUCCAACCAUAGUAGUUUCGAACAUCACACGACCUUAUGCAAAAUUCUCUCCAAGCGUUUGGGGGGAUAGGUUCAUUCAGUAUGCUGACUCAGAAUUAACAGUACAUCUUUAUGCAAUGUUACAUUCAUUUUUUUGUUUUCUAAAAUCUCUCUAAAUGGUUUAAGGAGACAUCAACUAAGAUCUUUGUGUCAAUUAUCCAAUAGAAGUUAGGAAGGAAAGAUGGUUAAGUUAUUUUGGUUGUAUUCAACAUUUAGUUUUCUACUUUUCUUUUGGCAUUAUUUCCGAGGCUAUUUUGGUUGUAUUCAACACUUACUUAGAAAUUAUGUUCUAGAAUUAUACCCUCGGAAAUAAUGGCAAAAAAAAAGUAGAAAACUAAAUGUUGAAUACAACCAAAAUAACUUAACCAUCUUUCCUUCCUAACUUCUAUUGGAUAAUUGACACAAAGAUCUUAGUUGAUGUCUCCUUAAACUAUUUAUAGAGAUUUUAGAAAACAAAAAAAUGAAUGUAACAUUCCAUAAGGUUGUACCGUUAAUUCUGAGUCAACAUACUGAAUGAACCUAUCCCCCCAAACGCUUGGAGAGAAUUUUGCAUAAGGUCGUGUGAUGUUCGAAACUACUAUGGUUGGAAGAGACAUUUCAGGUUGUUUUUUUGGAGAAAAAAGAAAACAAAGGGUAGUUGUGGUUUUAUUUGUGAUAUGAAAAAAAGGGUGGUUAUGGUCAUACAUCGAUGAUGAUGCUUACAGAUAGAAAAUGAAAUUGAACGAUGUUCAAAUUCCACAUACCAUGUAUGCUUAAAUACAUGUAGUGUACAAUCAUGAUCCUGUAAACAUGCAAAUCUAUAUUCUAUGUAUAAAUAAAAGGCUUAAAUAUGUAUUUCAUCCUUGCAAUUAGGGAUCGUUUAAAAAUUGGUUCAUGUAAUCGCUAAUCCUGACAAUUUACCCUUGCAUUGUUUAAUCAUUUAAAAUUUCGUCUCUCUCCCCACUUAAUCACUGCCACGUCACUAAUUUAAUGACGUGGCAAUCACUGUCACACAUGAAAUUCCAAUUUACCCCGGGGUUUCCAAUUCUUUCUUCAAUAUUUUGUCCUCUUCUUAAGGGCAAAAUUGGAAUUUCAUGUGUGGCAGUGAUUGCCACGUCAUCAAAUUAGUGACGUGGCAGUGAUUAACUUGGUCAAAUGACGAAAUUUUAAAUGAUUAAUGAUUGCAAGGCUAGUUUGCAAGGAUUAGCGAAUACAUGAACCAAUUUUUAAACGACCCCUAAUUGCAAGGAUGAAAUAUAUAUUUAAGCCUAAAUAAAAUUUACCUCUUUAGUUAGAAUAGUACUUAAAGAAAUGACCUUUGUAGAUCUAAAUUGACCUCUUCUUCUAGAAAAGCCUCUUACUUUAACUUAAAAACUUCUCAUGUUCCAUCUCUAAGUUCAUGAGUUAUAUCUCCUCUAUCAUACCAAAUUAAUAUCUAAUGAUGACUCAAUUCUCUAAUAAACUUCUAUUUAAUACUAAGACACUCUAAUACUAUUUGUCUAAUCUUUUUUUUUUUUGACAAAUUAUUUGUCUAAUCUUUACCAAGAGUUUUCUUAGUAUAUUUACCUCUUAAACUUUCAGAAUCAUUGAAGCCAAUGUUUUAAGAACCGAACUGUUCAACCUUCAAUCGACCUUUACUAUGCUUCGGUUAUUUUUGGGUUCAAUUUCGUCUCGCUUCAAGCAUUUUUAAGCAGUCAAACCAUGACCUAGAGGUCUCGUUGGUUCGAUAUCCUAAUCGGUUUUUAAACAAUGGUUGAAGCUCAAAGCGAACCUCAUACUUGUAGGCUAUGUUUGCCUAUUAUGAUUACAUUCUAUAUAACCAUAUUUCAGCCAUUUCCAUCAAUGUCAUAUUGUGCAUUUUGUUUACUUAAAUGCCUCAUCUAGAAUUCUUGUGUAACAUGCACUUGCACACUCACUAAACAUCUGAGAAAAGAAUAAAUAAUAUACUUUUUUGUUGUGCAGACUCCAACAGGGGCAGGGGAUCGACCACUUGCAGAGAUUAGGCUCAAUCGUGUAACUAUGCAUUCUAAUCCACUUGCUGGUUAGACUGGUCUCUAUGGUUGUUUAUGUAUAUUUGAAUUUUCUAUUUCCCGAAACAAUAGAUCUAACUUCUAAGUAGACGUCAAAGAGAAUUCUUACAUGCUGAAUCAAGUACUUGGUCAUAGUAAUUUACUAUAUUAAUAAUCGUUUGAUGCACAUUACAAUGUCCUCAUUGUGCGAUAUUGUUUCGGGUAAUACAACAAUAACUUUAACAAGAAGACGAUGAAUAUGAUGAUGAUCGCACAAAUGAAUUACAAAGCGUAUGAUUGAUAACUGCAAAUCUCUUUCAGGAUACUUUGGAUCUUUUAAGUGAAUCACACACUCAUUACAAGUAUAUCGAUCAAUGAUGUUUUACAUAAUAAAAUUCUUUCAAUUACUCUCUUCUACUAGAGAAAUUUAGAAAUAAUUUAGGUAAAAUUUUAGAUCAUAGAAGUGUGAUUUUCUUGUAUAUUUUUGCCUGUAAAGUGUUUCUAGUUAUGGAGAAAAUCACUCCGUUUAGUGAAUGAAAACAACUCCUCAAAAUGUUUCAGCAAAUUUGAAUGGUUAAAACUGUCAUGUUAAGCAUAUCAGAAAUAGAAUCUGUAAAAGUCGUACCAACUACCAAGGAAUGAAAACUAUCAUCUUCCUAGGUUAAGUUCUUCCCUCUAUAGUUGUAUCAGUGUGUGUUUGUGUCUGUAGUUUACUUUUCCAAAUAUGUAAAAACAAUAUUUUCACACAAAAUGUAUUAGCAGAUCUAUUCCAAAACUGAGUGAUAUUGUGUACAUGAUCCGGUUUAUUUUUACUUCAACAACUAAACUAAGUAACACUGACACUUCAGAUUGAAAGCGCAUCUGGUGUCUGUGUCAACUUUCACAAUAUAACAUACAAUACACAGAGUAACUUAAAACAUUCAUGAGCAUGGCAAUCUAAACUAAUAUCGACCAACUAUGAUAAAAUCAUCAUCCUCAAGAACUUGAACAUCUUUUUCUCCAACGAAAUGUUGCCUGCCCAUUUCCUUCACCAAAUUCACAAACCCUACCCUUUGUUCCAAAGUAAGAGGUACAUAUGGAAGCCUGAAAACAGGCUUGAUAACCCCAAGUUGAGCAAGAGCAGUGUUCAAAGCAAUUGGGCUUGGCUCUAUAAAAAGCCAAUCAAACAAAGUCAUAAGCUUUGAAUUCAAUGUAGGAUUCUUACCCCCAAACAUGAGUUCCCUUAUUAAGCCAGGAACCAAAUUGCUUGCAACAGAUUGAACUCCAACAGCCCCACAAUCCCAUCUAGCUAAAUGGCUUAAAAUAUCAAAACACCACACAACAAUUCCUUUAUCUGUGUACAUUUUCACCCUCUCAUUUCCAACACACUCUUUCACACCGACAAAAUUUGGAUUUUGAGCCAAUAUUUCAAUUACACUAGGAGGAAUAUCUUGACCACUCCUUGAAGGUACAUUGUAUAUUAUGAUAGGGCCUACAGGAAGCAAACUAUUAUAAUGAGCAACCAAACCUGCAUUUGAGGUUUUUCCAUAGUAAGGGUUUAUAUGAAGUGCUGCAUCCAUUCCAACAGCAAAACCUUGCUCGGUUGCGUUUAUCGCU
RNAcentral lists this long non-coding RNA (8544 nucleotides) under Medicago truncatula (barrel medic). Its description in RNAcentral is "long non-coding RNA (MTRU_LNC006046)". The record is from RNAcentral. Lineage: Eukaryota; Viridiplantae; Streptophyta; Magnoliopsida; Fabales; Fabaceae.